Molecule: unclassified non-coding RNA, 197 nt
Filed under: uncultured Herpotrichiellaceae
Lineage: Eukaryota; Fungi; Ascomycota; Eurotiomycetes; Chaetothyriales; Herpotrichiellaceae
Description: sequence contains ITS1
Source: RNAcentral
CCGAGUAAGGGUUCGCUUCCACGCGGCCCGACCUCCCAACCCUUUGUCUACUUUACCACAAUGUUGCUUCGGCGGACCGGUCGCGACCAACUGGUCGUGACCGCCGGGCCUGACCGCCUGGAGUGCGUCCGCCGACGGCCAAAACAAAACUCUUGAACCGAAACCUGUCGUCUGAAUUAUUUGAUAAAUCAAAAACA